Molecule: ribosomal RNA, 320 nt
Filed under: uncultured eukaryote
Lineage: Eukaryota
Description: partial 18S ribosomal RNA
Rfam family: Eukaryotic small subunit ribosomal RNA
Source: RNAcentral
CCCCUAGAUGUUCUGGGCCGCACGCGCGCUACACUGAACAGUUCAACAAGUCUUAACCUUGGCCGAUAGGUCUGGGUAAUCUUUGAACGCUGUUCGUGAUUGGGAUAGACCUUUGCAAUUAUGGGUCUUCAACGAGGAAUUCCUAGUAAACGCAAGUCAUCAGCUUGCGUUGAUUACGUCCCUGCCCUUUGUACACACCGCCCGUCGCACCUACCGAUUGAAUGGUCCGGUGAAAUCUCGGGACGGCGGCUCGGUCGCUUGCGUCCGACUGCUGAAACUUGAUUAAACCAUAUCAUUUAGAGGAAGGUGAAGUCGUAACA